This 254-nucleotide ribosomal RNA is filed under the name uncultured bacterium. RNAcentral's name for it is "partial 16S ribosomal RNA". It matches the Rfam family "Bacterial small subunit ribosomal RNA", at positions 524 to 776 of the family's 1533-position model. The record is from RNAcentral.
UACGGGGGGAGCAAGCGUUGUUCGGAUUUACUGGGCGUAAAGGGCGCGUAGGCGGCCACCGCAAGUCACUUGUGAAAUCUCCGGGCUUAACCCGGAAAGGUCAACUGAUACUGCGGGGCUAGAGUGCAGAAGGGGCAACUGGAAUUCUCGGUGUAGCGGUGAAAUGCGUAGAUAUCGAGAGGAACACCUGCGGCGAAGGCGGAGACCUGGGCCGAUACUGACGCUGAGGUGCGAAAGCGUGGGGAGCAAACAGG